This is a non-coding RNA of Vigna umbellata (rice bean), 898 nucleotides long. NCBI's taxonomy places the organism in Eukaryota, Viridiplantae, Streptophyta, Magnoliopsida, Fabales, Fabaceae. The record is from RefSeq and is a predicted model, not a curated record.
UUAAACUUAAAAAACUUAAACUAUUUUUACUAAAAACUAAAUAUACUCCUUAAUAGUUCAGUUUAAAAACAAUGAACUUAUUUUAUUUUGAGUACAAUUAACUGUAGUUAACUGUGUUUCAGUUUUCCCAAUUUCUUUCUCGAUCAAAAUUUCUAAUCACAAUUAGGUUUCCUUGUUUCCUUUCUCCAUCACCAUUUUCUCUGAACCUCUACGUUAGGUUUCAUUCGUGUCGCUCGCUGCCAUUGAAGGCUUCCGCCAUUGACGGUUCUCGUUGAAGGUUCGCUGCCGUUGAAGACUCGCUGUCGUCGAAGACUCGCCGUUGUCAAAGACUCGCCGUUGUCGAAGACUAGCCAUUGUCGAAGGUUCGCCGCUGUUAAAGGCUUUGCCGCACUCUACCGUCAUCGAACUGUUGAAGGCUCUACCACCAUUGUCGAAGGUUUUGAGAACACUUCUCGCUGGAAAGAGAAGCAAAUCUACAACCCAUAGAGAUAACCUCUCAAGAUGAAGUGGGACCUUCAAGUGCUGCUAUUAAUUUGGAUGAUUGAAGUUUUGCCACAAUUUGUUAGUUAUCUAAAGUUGAUUGGAGCUAUUUCAUCAAUAUUCUUGUUGAUCAGAAGUCUUGCUACAGUUUCUUUUUAUGACUCCACUCCUUUAGGACGAAUACUACUAGGGAUCUCAAGCUUGUGGACCUUGAUGUUGCAUUCAGUUGUUUGUUUGUUGUUGCAGCUACUUCAAAUUGUUAUGCUAAUCUUGCAGUUUUAGCAAUUGUUACUUGGCAAGUCUUGUUUGUCUCAAUCCCAAUGAUUUAUUUUGCAACCAGCUUGCAGGUGAUGAACAAAUUCUUCUUUGGAUUACAUUACAUUGAUAAUUUGGUGUCAUUUUUUAAAUUAAUUUGAGA